This is a transfer RNA of Melampsora larici-populina 98AG31, 85 nucleotides long. It matches the Rfam family "tRNA". From Rfam's summary of the family: Transfer RNA (tRNA) molecules are approximately 80 nucleotides in length. Lineage: Eukaryota; Fungi; Basidiomycota; Pucciniomycetes; Pucciniales; Melampsoraceae. The record is from Rfam.
GGUCGAUUAGCUUAGUUGGUAGAGCGUGGUACUAAUACUGCGUGUAUCAAUGCCAAGGUCAUGGGUUCGAGCCCCAUAUGGACCA